This is a non-coding RNA of Nicotiana tabacum (common tobacco), 1555 nucleotides long. NCBI's taxonomy places the organism in Eukaryota, Viridiplantae, Streptophyta, Magnoliopsida, Solanales, Solanaceae. The record is from RefSeq and is a predicted model, not a curated record.
CUUUCUUCUAUCCUGAUCUUCCUCGCUGAUGCCUUUGAUUUUCAAUGAAUUUUACUGAUAAUACAUAACUAGUUUCAGAAUUAAUUAAGGAAAGAGCAUUUGUAGCGAAUAAGGUCAAGAAGGGGUCAAGAAUGGUGUAUCGAAAAAUUCUUCAAUGAAUUGGAUUGUGUCUUUGGUUUCUUAUGCAUCCUUCGGAGGACAGAGAAAAUAGAAACUUACUAACGCAUGUACUAUCAUAUUCUCAACAGCGGAGAGCCGAAUGUUUGACACGGUUAGCAUCUGUAAUUCUUUACAUCUUUUUCCUUUCUCCUUUUUCACCACACAGCAUGAGAGAUUAAAAUUAUAGAGAAAAACUUUGACGAGUUGUUGUUGUAACUAUGUGGAUUUUCUGUCUUUUUUUUUACGAAUGAAAUAAACUGAUAUUACCCAAAUUUAUUGUGGGACUUAAAAAUUUAAAUGCGGUAUAGAGAAUUUCAGAUACUUGAAAUAUAUUCUUGGUUUUGUUUGUUCUCAUAGAAUCUCCUUAUCGCUAGCUAUAUAUAAUUGUGUCUCAUUUGCUAAAUUUUCAUGAAUUUCCAACACAAUCACCCGGAAAAGUAGUAAUCUCAAGUUUGCUUAUAGGUAUUUGUAUUUGUAUGAUACCUUUGGAUGGAACAUUACCAGAAAAUUACAAGUUAGUUGACUGAUGUAUGGAGCUUCUGUAAAGUGAUUGCUUUGAAAAGAUUCAAAAUAUGAAUUGCUUUAUUUAGAUAAAAUUUGUAUUAAUAUUUCAUACAUGGGACAGUAACAUUUAAACCUUAACAAUUUUGCUCCAACUUCUGCAAUUUGUGAAUGUAACUACUUGGACUUGUCUCAUUUUUGUUCAAAAAAUGGGACAUAACUGCAUUCAAGUUAUUACUGCUUCUUGUAUACAAGAAGUGAUUAAUUUGUAUUAUUUUCUACUUUUAUUAAUAAAUUUGGUACAUUUGUGUAAUCUUUUCAUUUAAAGUUCAGUCCCUUUUGAAGAAGAGAUACAUGAUAGAGACCUAAGACUAAUGAAGACUUCAACAUCUUUUAAGAUGAAAACAUUCUUCUAUAGUCGUUAGCUUAUAGGAAAACCUUGCCUUCUUCUUUAGGAAAUAUUGCUAACAAGUUAUGGUGGUUAGGGAUAUUUUGGUAGCAUUUUCAGCAUCAACGACCUCUUUCAACAUUUGCAGCAAGGUAAUAUUUGGACUUUCAGUUCAAGAAUUGAAUGUCUUUGUUGAAUUUCGAAUCUUUUUCUUUUUCAAGAAAACCUGUUUAUGUUUUAAGAUGAUUGUUUGAUUGAAGGAUUCUAUUGCAUAUAGCAUAAUUCUUUCAUGAUUUUUGUUCUGUUUAUGGAUUAUAAUCUUGUUAAUGGAAAUUUGCUCAUUCAAGAUGGAGAUUGUUUGGAUUGGGUAAUUCCUCUACAUUGCAGAGAUGAUCUUCUUAAUCUUUGGAGACACUAAAUUCUGAUAUAAUUUCCUCUUGCUUUUCAGGUGAUUUCACUAUAUAUUUUCUUUUUGUACAACUUGUCUACUGUUUGGAAGAAAAUAAA